Molecule: ribosomal RNA, 701 nt
Filed under: uncultured bacterium
Lineage: Bacteria
Description: bacterial SSU rRNA
Rfam family: Bacterial small subunit ribosomal RNA
Source: RNAcentral
GAAAGCGUGGGUAGCGANCAGGAUUAGAUACCCUGGUAGUNCACGCCGUAAACGAUGAGUGCUAGGUGUUAGGCCCUUUCCGGGGCUUAGUGCCGGAGCUAACGCAAUAAGCACUCCGCCUGGGGAGUACGACCGCAAGGUUGAAACUCAAAGGAAUUGACGGGGGNCCGCACAAGCGGUGGAGCAUGUGGUUUAAUUCGAAGCAACGCGAAGAACCUUACCAGGUCUUGACAUCCCGAUGCUAUUCUUAGAGAUAGGAAGUUACUUCGGUACAUCGGAGACAGGUGGUGCAUGGUUGUCGUCAGCUCGUGUCGUGAGAUGUUGGGUUAAGUCCCGCAACGAGCGCAACCCUUAUUGUUAGUUGCCAUCAUUAAGUUGGGCACUCUAGCGAGACUGCCGGUAAUAAACCGGAGGAAGGUGGGGGUGACGUCAAAUCAUCAUGCCCCUUAUGACCUGGGCUACACACGUGCUACAAUGGUCGGUACAACGAGUUACGAGCCGGUGACGGCAAGCUAAUCUCUGAAAGCCGAUCUCAGUUCGGAUUGGAGGCUGCAACUCGCCUCCAUGAAGUCGGAAUCGCUAGUAAUCGCGGAUCAGCACGCCGCGGUGAAUACGUUUCCGGGCCUUGUACACACCGCCCGUCACACCACGAGAGUUUGUAACACCCGAAGUCGGUGAGGUAACCUUUUAGGGGCCAGCCG